Bos taurus (domestic cattle) is the source of this 1913-nucleotide long non-coding RNA. The record is from Ensembl. Lineage: Eukaryota; Metazoa; Chordata; Mammalia; Artiodactyla; Bovidae.
AAAGGGAUGACAGAGGACCAGAUGUUUGGAUGGCAUCACCGACUCAAUGGACAUAAGUUUAAGCAAGCUCUGGGAGAUGGUAAAGGACAGGGAGGCCUGGCAUGCUGCAGUCCGUGGGGUCACAAAGAGCUGGACAUGACUGAGCGGCUGAACAACCGCAAAUCAUCCCUGACAGAUAGCAGCCCUUGUCUAUGUGCAGACAUGAGAUUUUUGCAAUCAGUGAAGAUAUGGUUUUGUGUCAAGACUUUACCACACACAGUUUACUUUGCUGACAGAUUCUCCAAACUUCCAACACAAACAGAACAGUGUUUUCCUGCCUCUGGAGUCCUUGAGCAAUGUUUGGCUGAGAGACCCACGAGAGGAGUGUUACAAGUGUGAUCUCGGCAGGCUGGGUGCCUAGGACUGCCUCCUUCCUGCACCCGCUCUCCAGCCUGGGCCCACGGCCAAGAGCACCAGAGUUCACCAGAAAGACAAACACUGAGACGCUCCCCAAACACUUGGACUUUAAUUUGCUUCAUGAAAUGCCAGGUUAUUUUCUUUUUCUGGCAGAAUUGGUUGCGCCUCCUCCAAUCUCACAGUCCUGCUCCUGGUAGCAGUUUUCUCGGAAUCUCACCAGUUCAAUUUCAUCUAUCUAUCUAUCUAUCUAUGCAUGCUGUGGUUGUAUCUGCUGCUGCUGCUCCUAAGUCACUUCAGUCGUGUCCGACUCUGUGCGACCCUAUAGAUGGCAGCUCACCAGGCUCCCCCAUCCCUGGGAUUCUCCAGGCAAGAAUACUGGAGUGGGUUGCCAUUUCCUUCUCCAAUGCAUGAAAGUAAAAAGUGAAAGUGAAGUAGCUCAGUCAUGCCUGACUCAGCGACCCCAUGGACUGAAGCCACCAGGAUCCUCCAUCCAUGGGAUUUUCCAGAGUGCAUCAGGUGGAAUGCUGGGCUGGAUGACUCACAAGCCAGAAUCAACAUUGCCAGGAAAAAUAUCAACAACCUCAGAUAAGCAGAUGAUAAUACCACUUUAAUGGCAGAAAGUAAAGAGGAACCAAAGAGCCUCCUGAUGAAGGUGAAAGAGGAGAGUGAAAAAGCUGGCUUUAAAUUCAGCAUUCAAAAAAUAAAAAUCAUGGCAUCCGCUCUCAUGACUUCAUAGCAAAUAGAUGGGCAAAAAGUGAAAACAAUGAUAGAUUCCAUUUUCUUGGGCUCCAAAAUCACUUUGAAUGGUGACUGCAGCCACAAAAUAUAAAGAUUCUUGCUCCUUUUAAGAAAGGCUAUGACAAACCCAGACAGCGUAUUAAAAAGCAGAGACAUUACAUUACCGACAAAGGUCUGUCUAGUCAAAUCUGUGGUCUUUCCAGUAGUCAUGUAUGAAUAUGGGAGUUGGACCAUAAAGAAAGCUGAGCACCGAAGAAUUAAUGCUUUUGAGCUGUGGUGAUGGAGAAGACUCUUGAGAGUCCCUUGGACUGCAAGGAGAUUCAACCAGUCCAUCCUAAAGGAAAUCAGUCCUGAAUAUUCAUUGGAAGGACUGAUGCUGAAGCUGAAACUCCAAUUCUUUGGCCACCUGAUGCGAAGAACUGACUCAUUAGCAAAGACCCUGGUGCUGGGAAAGAUUGAAGGCAGGAGGAGAAGGGGACGACAGAGGAUGAGAUGGGAGGAUAGCAUCACUGACUCCAUGGACAUGAGUUUGAGUAAGCUCCGGGAGUUGGUGAUGGACAGGGAAGCCAGGUGUGCUGCAGUCCAUGGGGUCGCAAAGAGUCAGAUAUGACUUAGUGACUGAACAGAAACAAUAUACUAUAUUAUUUAUUUGCUCUGCUUCCUGUCCAUUGUCCCUCCAUCUCUCAGUUCCCAGCUAUGUUUUGUUGACUUUUGUUUCCUAGUGUCUUGAGCAGUCUUGCGAACUUAGUAGGCACUGAAUAAAUAUUACAUGAAUGAAU